This 22-nucleotide microRNA is filed under the name Daphnia pulex (common water flea). Its description in RNAcentral is "Dpu-Mir-2-P3_5p* (star (passenger))". The record is from RNAcentral. Lineage: Eukaryota; Metazoa; Arthropoda; Branchiopoda; Diplostraca; Daphniidae. RNAcentral also lists the same sequence under 1 other name.
CUCGCAAAGUGGCUGUCAUGUG